Molecule: ribosomal RNA, 460 nt
Filed under: uncultured bacterium
Lineage: Bacteria
Description: partial 16S ribosomal RNA
Rfam family: Bacterial small subunit ribosomal RNA
Source: RNAcentral
CCUACGGGUGGCAGCAGUGAGGAAUAUUGGUCAAUGGACGAGAGUCUGAACCAGCCAAGUAGCGUGAAGGAUGACUGCCCUAUGGGUUGUAAACUUCUUUUAUAUGGGAAUAAAAUGUUCCACGUGUGGGAUUUUGUAUGUACCAUAUGAAUAAGGAUCGGCUAACUCCGUGCCAGCAGCCGCGGUAAUACGGAGGAUCCGAGCGUUAUCCGGAUUUAUUGGGUUUAAAGGGAGCGUAGGUGGAUUGUUAAGUCAGUUGUGAAAGUUUGCGGCUCAACCGUAAAAUUGCAGUUGAGACUGGCAGUCUUGAGUACAGUAGAGGUGGGCGGAAUUCGUGGUGUAGCGGUGAAAUGCUUAGAUAUCAGGAAGAACUCCGAUUGCGAAGGCAGUUCACUGGACUGAAACUGACACUGAGGCUCGAAAGUGUGGGUAUCAAACAGGAUUAGAUACCCCUGUAGUC